RNAcentral lists this ribosomal RNA (861 nucleotides) under uncultured bacterium. RNAcentral describes it as "bacterial SSU rRNA". It matches the Rfam family "Bacterial small subunit ribosomal RNA", at positions 66 to 922 of the family's 1533-position model. The record is from RNAcentral.
GGGGCAGCACGAUGUAGCAAUACAUUGGUGGCGACCGGCGCACGGGUGAGUAACGCGUAUGCAACCUACCUAUCAGAGGGGAAUAACCCGGCGAAAGUCGGACUAAUACCGCAUAAAACAGGGGUUCCACAUGGAAAUAUUUGUUAAAGAAUUAUCGCUGAUAGAUGGGCAUGCGUUCCAUUAGAUAGUUGGUGAGGUAACGGCUCACCAAGUCCACGAUGGAUAGGGGUUCUGAGAGGAAGGUCCCCCACACUGGUACUGAGACACGGACCAGACUCCUACGGGAGGCAGCAGUGAGGAAUAUUGGUCAAUGGGCGAGAGCCUGAACCAGCCAAGUCGCGUGAAGGAUGAAGGAUCUAUGGUUUGUAAACUUCUUUUAUAUGGGAAUAAAGUGAGGAACGUGUUCCUUUUUGUAUGUACCAUAUGAAUAAGCAUCGGCUAACUCCGUGCCAGCAGCCGCGGUAAUACGGAGGAUGCGAGCGUUAUCCGGAUUUAUUGGGUUUAAAGGGUGCGUAGGUGGUUAAUUAAGUCAGCGGUGAAAGUUUGUGGCUCAACCAUAAAAUUGCCGUUGAAACUGGUUGACUUGAGUAUAUUUGAGGUAGGCGGAAUGCGUGGUGUAGCGGUGAAAUGCAUAGAUAUCACGCAGAACUCCGAUUGCGAAGGCAGCUUACUAAACUAUAACUGACACUGAAGCACGAAAGCGUGGGGAUCAAACAGGAUUAGAUACCCUGGUAGUCCACGCAGUAAACGAUGAUUACUAGCUGUUUGCGAUACACAGUAAGCGGCACAGCGAAAGCGUUAAGUAAUCCACCUGGGGAGUACGCCGGCAACGGUGAAACUCAAAGGAAUUGACGGGGGCCC